AGUUCCGUGGUGCUCGAGAGGGGUUUUCGGGUCAGAUCAGACACGCUGCGGCUGUCUGUGGUUCUGCCUGGGCAUAGAGGAGCACCUCUCAUUACUCAUGUUCUUCCCCAUCUGGUGGCUUUGAGCAGAGAUUUGAGGGCACCUGAUGCGAACUGCAUUGCAGUCAGGGGUUGCUGUUGCUGGUUAAUACAGGGAGGUGUGAUUUAUUCCCAUUUCAUGUACCUCUCCAUUGCAGACCAGCACACACAGAAGGAAGAUGUGAUUUAGAGAGAGCAGGUCUGGAGAGGUUUGAAUCCUCCUGUGCAAGGAGCACAGGGCAGGCUGAGCUCCGGAGGGCUGAUGGGCAAUGUAUGUGAAAGAACUUGAAAAAUCAUGUGAAAGAACUUGAAAAAUCAGUCCUUUUUUUUUUUUUCUUUCUUCCAUGAAAUUUUUCAUUAAAGAAACUAUCAUUGAAAAUGUUUAAAAAAGAAAAAUUCUAAAUUUACAAAAUACAAAAAUGCUGCUUUUCCAGUAAGGCUUGAAAUUUACCAUCUGGAAGCAGUGGGAACAGAAACCAUCCGACUUUAACUUAAGUUGCAAUAUCAAUAACCUGGAUGUACAAAGGAAAAUUUUAUUACUCACUAGUGUCUGGAAGAAAAAUAAAGUACUAGAGCAAGUUUUGCCAUUGGGGACGAAGUCUUUCUCACAGCCAUAAGGGAAUCAAUAUCCUACUGUGAUCCCCCGUUACACACACAAAAUCAUACUGAGUAUAAAGAGUUCCCUGUUUGUUUUGCACAUGUAGGGCUGCUACCUCUGUUUCUUCCAGCUAAAGCAGCACAGGCACAUGCUGAGGAACUGCACACGUUCCCCUUGGUGCUAGGUGAAGGUGAGGGAUUUUAUCGGUUUUGCUUCCUGCGUGUACCACUAAGAUUGUCCUGUAGCACUAAGAACCCAUUGUAAGGCUGGAUGAAGGUGUAAAUUGGUUGAGGCCCUAGAUGUUACCCAUGUUGUGUGCUGCAGCUGCGAGGUGCCGAAAGCAGAGCGGGGAGGCAGCAUUCUUGGGGGGGAAGUUCUUCUUCAGCAAAUCCAUGUUGCACUUUGCACUUUCAUUUCUUCCUCCCCUAAGACAGAUUCCUUGUCCCUCUUGGUCUGUCACAACCCUGUCACGCUCCCAAAAAAAUGUGAGCAGCUGAUACUGAGUCACCAAGUGGAAAAUACAUAGCACGUCCAGGGAGGCUUGACUAAGAAGUAGGAGGAACAGGGGAGAUGAGAUAAAAAAAAUGAAGGAGCACAAUUUAACUUUAGCUCAGAAGGCUGAUUAGAGCACAGAGAUGUUCUUUAGCAUGGGGGGGUCUUGUAGAGCUUGUGGUUCAGCACUGAGGGUUGGGUGAAACCUUUGGUACUUUUAGGUGAAGAAGAGUUUUGCUGUUUUUCUGAGUAAAGCCAGGACUUCACCUUGGAAAUCUUGAAUGCAACUCUCAGCUCUUCCAUGGAUCUGAUGUUGCAGGAUUUAGGAUAAGGUGAGGAACAUUUCUUUCUGUGAUUCACCUCUACCAUCCAAAACCCUACGGUAAUUCCACCUCAUACUAACAUAGGCCUUUUUUCAUGGGAGGAAACACCCACUUCUUACAUGGUGGCCCAAGACUCUUUGAGGCAGGACAGGACUGGGUCACCGAGCCAGCGGGGGACACGAAUGAGACCCCAUGGAUGAACCAUAGUAGGGGUUGCUUGGCUAAAUCAUCACAGGUGCUCCCAAGGUAGCGUUGGCAGAGAGCAAACAGUAAUUAAUAUAACGGCUGUUAAAUGCAGAUGUUUCAAACCUCUCAACCUUGAAAAAAUAGGGAGAAGGAUUUUUGCAAAAUACUUCCUUUCCCGUCACUCUAAUGCUGUAUGUUCGGUGCACCUUCUUCUGAACCGAAGCGUCGCUCAGCCAAACUGAGACUUCCCAAACCAUUCAUCUGAAUAUUUCUGACUGAAAAGACUGUAAACAUCACAGUUCCCAGGUUAUUCGUUAGUCAAAUGCCCCCAAGACAACUGGGGGAUCUGUGAGAUGACAGCGGUUGUGUGGAAAGCCACACGGAGAAUCCCAGAAAGCCCCCUGCCAGUCGCUAUAACCAGUGUAGGUGCCACCUUUGGGGGUUAAUCUUGUUUGCCCAGGAACACCUCCAGAUAGCUUUGAUAACAAAUCAAGUUUUCUUGCUCAACUUCAUCACCAUUUCACACUUACUGCGUUCAUGUAGGCCAUAAACAAAAAGCUAAAGGGAGUGUACUUCAUUUAGGUGUUGCAGAGAGGUACAAAAAUGGUUAACCGGAGUAGUUUUGCCACAAAUGCCAACUGUCCUGCCUCCUGAUACCGUGGAGAUGCAAGACAUAAUAGGGACAGUAUGAUGCUGCAGAAAAAAAAUGGUCACAGCCCAACUUUCCUCUCAACCUCGAGGCAUGCAGUAUUUGAAUGGAACUAUUCUCUGGUGCCAGUGCCAUUUUUAAACAAUUUACAUUUCAAAUCUGUAACUGGAUUCAUAUCAGCCUGUGUAUGGGCUGAAAAAAACAAUCUCUAAUUUUCAUUGAUUUAGAAAAACGGUGCCUGUCUCCACAGUACGGGCCAGGAGUGGAAGCCCAAGCCCUGUUUUGAGCUAGGGUGCCAUGUAGCGUGGGACACGCCAGGUUACAAGGAGGGCAAUCUGUAUUUGGAAAUCAUCAGUGGCCAUCAGAGCAACUAGUGAUAGCCAAGGCAAAUUUGCCUGCAUUUUGUUCCAGCCUCCUCACUCUUUCAGUAUCCAGAUGCCUGCAUUUUGUAUAAAGAUGUGUUCAUACUCCUGUGUGUUCAAAACACCGGAUUUGACCACAGGCACAACAAGAGGGACACAGAGAUGCGUAUUGCUGCUUCUUUGACAUGGGUUUAGCAGCACGGUGUGGUCUGUGUCCUGCCUGCGUGUUUCCAUGGCGUGGAGUGUCUGCUGUGACCCACGGUGCACGCACGCAGGCAGGGACGGGGCUGCCCACUGUGAACGGUCCCAACCCUGGUACAUCAGGUACGUCCCAAUCCUGCCUGGGCCAGUUCUGGCCUCAGAAAAGCAGUUCCAGUCCCAAACCAAGCCAGAAGGCUGAUCAUUCAUCAGCACAACUGCAUUGAUGCCAGUGCAGACUAGCAGGAAAGACUCUAUCUCCAUGUACUUUUAAAUCAUCAAGCUAAUAAGUACCCUGGAUGAUAAGAUGUAAUCUUUUAAAUGCAGUAUGGAUUUCUUCCCCUGAAUUAUGCAUGAUAACAUCUUUAGGCGUGAGCUUUUUUUCCUUUUACUGGAGGAGCUGUGUGGUGGGGGUGGUGGUAAUCACUGCGGUUUACAAUUCGGGGGAAGCUCCCUAUUGCUAGACAAUCUCUGCUGACUUCCUAGGCGUCCUGGGCCCUGCCAGAGCAUCUCCAGGAGACGUGACGCUGUUAACCCACUGGUUCAACACGCUGACACUGGUCUCCAAGCAAAAGCAGCCAAAUUUCACAUUGCGAGAAAUUAACAGGGGAAAAGGGAAUGAAGACUAGGAUUUCAAAAGCAACUGGACAAAUUCAGAUCAAAUCUGGCCACGUUCAUUUCCCACCUGGUGCUCACUGGUUGCUCGGGGGUGUGUGGGGAUCACACAUACCAACAGGCAGCAGGCACCAAUUAAAACAAACGCUGUUUAAUUGUGAGGGUGGUCAGACACUGGAACAAGGUGCCCAGAGAGGCUGUGGAGGCUCCAUCCCUGCAGAUACUCAACACCCAGCUGGACAUAGUGCUGGGCAACCUGCUCAACUGACCCAGCCUGAGCAGAGGGGAUGGACGAGAUGAUCUCAACAUCCUUUCCAACCUCACCCAUUCUGGGAUUCUGCUUCCUGCUUCUUAUGCAAGUUUCUGACAAUUUUACUGGUUGCUUUGCAGCAAGGAGUGUAAUAAUAUCAAUAUUUAGCUCUUUCGCAGCAUUUUUCCCUCCUUGAUCUGCAGUGCCUUUAAUGAGGUUUGUGUUUCAACAGCUAAGAGAACUGGGACAGCAUGCAAACAAAUGAUUUGCUUAAUGAUUCAGGAAGAUAGGGGCAGAGAGACCCAAUUUUCCGAGUGUCACCUCCCAUUGCUGGACCGGCACUGCAACUGAAACGCCUGUGAAGUGGCAUUUCCAGAGAGGUGCUGGUGUAUCCAGCACCCGGUGCCAGCAGAGGCCGAAGGCGCUGGAUGCAGCGCUCGAUCCACGGCUGCAGCCCUUGGACCGUAAAUCACUGCAAAGGAGAGAUGCUUCUGCGCUUUGCCAAGGAGACAAUGGCGCAGGCAGCUCUGCUCCGGUGAGCUCAGCUCAACCACAAACAAGCAAGCUGGUGCUUUAAUGAAGGCGUAUUCGCAAGUGCUAAAAACAGACUUUACCCACCAUUGCUUCAACCUACAGGUCUAGUUUCUGCAUAUCACAUUAUAUUUUUAUUAUUAUUAUUAUUUUUCUCAGUGCUUCUACUGCAGGUCUCAGAUUUGGUCAAGUUGCAAUGUAUAAACGCAGAAACAUUCUUCAUUAUUAUUAUUAUCAAUCCUUAGACUGAAGUUUCUGAUUUAAAAAAAAAAUAAAUCCUUAACUAAAGCUUACACUGCUGUGAUUUGACAUCUUGAUGUCUUUUGAUAUAUUGACAAGUACACCUUUAUAAAAAAAAGUACCGAAUUUCCUAAUGAAUAUUGCAAAUGAGGCAGAAGAGCAGAUGUGUGUGCAUGUUGACAGACACACAAGCACAGAGCUCCCGCUUCAUGUAUUUGCUUAAAUCCCAAAUCCUGGCAAAUAGGAAUGAUCUGUUUGUUACUCUUUUGGUGAUUUGAAUACACGGACUGUGUUUAUAUGGAACAGAGGAAACAAGCAAUGGCCAUUUAUGGACGAUUAAUCACAACCACGGAUUCUUUAUUUCCUAUUUAUGGAUGAUACUGUGGGCUGAAUUUUAAUGGGCUCUCACUGUGUUGGGUUUUGGUGUUUCUGCUUUCAGCAGUUAACACGUUAGAGAUAACCAAAAAUGAAUGGCUGUGGACCGGGAUCGCUCUCUGGUUUUAGCAAAGACUUUGCUUACUUUGCUUCAGGGAAGGAACAAAAUAAUGUCUUGUGAGUGUGGGCUUCUGGGAAGGUAACUUGGAAAUGGGUGAAGUUAGUGGUAACAUCACAUAACAGUUUAACAGUGAGCCGAGUUCAACUAAAACCAGCUCUGAGCCCAGAUUUCCACUGUCUCUGCAAAUGAGCAUGUGGGUUGUAGCUUGAAAGGCUGGCAGAGUGAAUGCUGUGAGACUAGGCAGAGCUCAGCAAGGCUCACUUCAGUACUAUUGCACGAAUGGCUCCUUUGUUCUUCCUCGGUUUUUAAGUUAAACACACAGUACGGCAGAAUGCUCUUAAGCAGAGGCCCAAUCUUCAACCUUCUGUUCAAGGAGUGAAGAAUAAUUAACAGAGCCCUUAUGUCUUCUCCUUGGAUGAUGCUCAGUUUGACCUUUACAGUACUAAAGUGGUAUUAAGAUAAGAAUCAUGUACUGUAUCCUGACCUCAGUUUCACCAUGGUGCAUCUGAAUCUGGAGGCAGACCACUAAAGUAAUUAGAAUUGACUGGGACUAAGACUGGUGCACGUGGUGUUUGAUAUUUCUGGCGUUUAUAUCCAAGCAGGAUCCAUUACAUCACCCCACACCUGCCCCCUGCACGCUGCACAAAAUGUGUUUAUUACGUGUGGCGCUAAUCGCACAGCAGGCGAUUAAAAUGCAGAGCAUUUUAAAAGUCAAAUUGGCCUUUUACAUCACAUAAUUUGGGAUGGGGGCCAGAUUGUUCUGGAUGAUUUAGAUACCUAACUCAAUCAAUGAGUAUGAGACAUCGAAAUGCCUUUGGAAAAAAAAAAAAACCUGCAGUCCCUAAUCUUUAAAUUUCAUCUUUAAUUUUGGAGUGAAAUUGGUGCUUAGAAAAUAUAGGGAGGGCAGGGAGAGAAGAGUCCAGUGAGCAAAGCUGAAAUCUCGCUGAGCCAAAGAGGAGAUGGGGAAUUAGGAGGCAGCUCCGGCUGCUCGCCCGCGGGAUACGUUCCCAGCGUCGAUGCAGGGGGAUGACGCCAUCCAGCCCCUACAAAUCUACAGUCCUUUCAAACCAGGACCCCUGGCUGACAGACACUUUUCCAGGCAUUAAGACUCCGGCAGCCCAACCAAAGUACAAGAUCAAGCAAGUAAAUUUGAAGGAGUUACUUUAUUACUGAUAACGUUGCCUCUGCCAGAUAGUUAAACCCACGCUUCAGUUAAACCCACCGAACCAAACGCCACGCUGCAAUUCAGUCGGGAAAAGCAGCUUGCCCUAAGAUAUGAUACCGGACAAGCAAAAUUAAUGAUUUUGAGACGUAUCAUCAUAGGAAGAAUGUGAGGAUUUUUUUUUUCUUCUUUUUAUUUGGACUCUUGAGAUUCUUCUCUGGGCUACUGUCUAAAGCCCAAUUUUGUUCAUGCUGCUGGGAUCCAGUUUUCACACCAGGCCUCUGAAAAGGACGCAGCCUUAUACUCUGCCAUACACAGUGGGCCAACUGGAGAAAAGCCACUUCACCGAUGGGUGUCGCUCAAUGAUGGCAGGAAUUUAAGGGAUUUUCACGAAAUGAGGAUUUAGCCCACAAGGGCACUUGUGGACGUGGAGCCUAUUUAGAGAUUCGGAGGCCUGAGACUGCAGAAAACCACUCUGGAAUUACCCGCUGGCCUCAGGUUGUGCUUUGCGUUGGGAGGGGAUGCUCCAGCUGUCUUGUCUGGAGCAACCAACAGAUCUCAGUCUUCAGAGCUGCCAACACUCCAGCACUGGAGUCUAAGUUGUGACUCAAGGUGGGAUUUGCAGAGCAGGAGGUGCUGUGCAAAUACAGUGAUGGAGAUAAUAGUUUCUUUCAUGAUGCACAAAUGAUUUGGGGUUUUCUCAGGGUCUCACUCGCUUGCCCGGUUUGAGAACACGGCUUGUUUGGGCACGUGUGGCUGAGCGUUCAACAAAGAGCACACACGUGUGCAUGGGCAGCCCGAUGUUAACAGGAGAUUUCCAUCAAUUCCCGAGCACAGUCAGUUUGUCCUGGGCUACAUUUAGAAGGUAUGAACAGCACGGAAAUGAAGGUCUGCUCCUCGUGAGUAACAACUAAUCUAUUUUAUGUAACAUGCUAUAAUGAAGAUUAUCAGAGCUGCAUUCACAAUUUCCAAGUCCAAUUCUUUUUUAUUCUAUUAGGCAUUAAACUUUCAGAUCCCACACGUGGCUUUGAAAAUCUCAGUUUGUAGGUCAGGAACAUCACAGAGAUGUGUAACAAUUUACUCCUUGCCACAGGCUUUGUCCGCAAACAGACACAGAUGGGACUCCAACAAUGGAUGCUGGCCAACAACCAACACUUUGUACCUUCCAAGCCCUGGUACCACAACACAAUGUAUGUGGGAACCGCGGCCAAGGACCCAGCCCAGGGCCACUCUUAUUUCAUCUCGUUGCUCUUGCUACCCUCUGGCUUCUAGGGAACACCAUAUUAGAGCAGCGAUUUGAUCCUCAAGGAUUGGACCAUGAAAGAUGCAAAGCAAACCAGCACGGUUCCUCUUCAACAGUCAAGCAAAUUAAUCUAAAUUCAGAUCACUGUUCAAAGAUGUGAAAACUGCGGAAGAAAAGACUAAAAAUUGAACUAGAGUACAAGCCAACAGGUCAAUGAAGACACAGCUCAUCAUGCAAUGGCCUGUGCCCAUGUGUCAGCCAAAAAGGAGUCAGAGGAGGAUGUGCCUUCAGUCUGCUGGUUUUCGGCCUCCAACAGGCCCUCCCAAGUCACAGCAGGACAUCUAGAGUCAUCUUUCCGCUGCUGUGAGGGUUCACCACCUCAACUGAGCUGACCACAGCGCAUGGAGAAAAAGAUAGCACUGACCCUCCAGAAGCCAUCGGAUGCAGCAGCAUCGGGCUGGUGAGAGGUUUUACCUGGCAAUGAAGUUCAUCAGGAAAUAACUGGAAGGAAUACAUCUGGAAACACCCAGUGCCAGCUCCGUUCUGGGCUCUAAUGACACAUUCCAAACCUUUGAAUUUGGGGAAGGAGCGUUAUUGAUGCAACACGUUAAACAACCUUAACACCAGUGAGCAAUGGCACCACUGUAACACUUGUUUAUUAGGAAAAUGCAUCUGAUCUCAAAGGCCUGCAUGACAAGUUCAUUACAUAUCAAUUUAAUUAGCUGAUUUACAUUUAAUUUACAUUUCAAUUAAUGUCUUUAGCAACAAAACGUUGCCUUAAUAGGGUAAUUGCCUGUUAGGCAAUAUGUAAAAGAAUAAAUAGUCACAUUCUGAGGAAGAAUUCCUAUUUUCAAUUUUUUAUUACCAUAAAUAACCUAAAUAAUUAUUGCUCUUAAGGGGCCACGUCCCAGUUCCCUUCUGGGCCUAAUUAUAAAGACUUAGUACCUCAUUAAGCAAAAUGGUUUCGGAGUCACAGAAAAGCAUUACUCUAAUCGUGACUCAUUAGUUUCAACAAAAGAGGGGAAAACUGCAAAAGUCGGCACAUUUCACCAUAUUAUUCUUGUGGUUCAUAAGCAGCAGAGAAGUGGCUGUUACGGCUGUGGAGGCGUUUCCGUCAUGAAGCCCUAUUUUCAGAUUAUUGGUUUUUGGUGUAACUUUGAUCAUUAAGACAGAGUCAUGUCCGACUGGAAAAGCUGGCACGUGUGGCCCUGGCAUGGAGCAAGUAGCCUGGGUUUUCUGUUUGCUGAGAGCUCAUCUCUUCCCCUCGUGGCCACAUGGCUGGUGACUUGGUUUGAGGCUGCAGCGUUGGAUACAUCUUCUACCAUGCCAGAAGGGUUGUGCUUUCAUCACCAAAAUGCACCCUCUGGCAAUCCGAUGUACAACACUCAUCUCGUACACGCUCGCUCUGCUGGUUCAAAUGUGUGUGUAAAAGCAGGGAAGGUUUGGCAUGGCGCUGGCGGGUUUUCUGCUACAUUGUGUGUUGACCCUCUGUGCCACUCCAGCGCUCCGCUGGAUCCAGCAUCGCCUGUCCCUCAGCAGCCAACAGUGAAGCACGAAGCUGCCGCAGACUCUGUGCCAGGAGCUCUGCCUGGUUUCACAGUAUCACAGUAUGUUUGGGAUUGGAAGGGACCUCAAAAGAUCAUCCAGUCCAUUCCCCCUGCUGGAGCAGGAACACCCAGGUAGUUAAAGUGGCAGCAUAGAAACGUUCAGCGACAUUCCAUACCUCAGAGCUGCACGCAGAACCCCUGCCCUCGCAGCCCAGCCAGCCCACUCCAAGGGCUCCUGACGCCAGUGGGGGUUGUACUGGAGUUUGCAACUCAUCUUCAACCCCAAGGUCUCCAGCCAAUUCCAGGUUCCUGCGCAAACACCGCUCGAUGCCGGGCCAGGUUAGCUGCUGUAGCUCCCCCAGCUCCAAAGGCUGUUCAUCUGGACUGCGUGCCUGCGCAAAUUUAAUGCCAGACACGGGGCACGUUCUAGUUCCUCAUGGCUUCAUUUUCCUAGAAGACGGUGCUCCGUGUAGGGCAGUGAAAAAGAAAUCAGAUGGGAGCCACUUUGUUCUAGUACUAAAUGCACCCUUUCAGCAGGCUAAGGAAAUCAGUGCUGUUCUUGGGAGAGAAAAAGAGACAGAAGCUUCUGCUUCCAAAGAGAAGGCCUUAUUACCCUAAGACGUUAAUUGCUGAGGACUUAGAUCUGUCUCCUGGUAUUCUGCAUUUUAUUUUUGCUCCUACACUUGACGGAUCUGGAAUUCUCUUCGGAGCUGCUAACUCAAUUUUUGCCUUUUAAAGCUCAUUUAAAACCUUUCCUACUUCCCCGUGCCUGUGAUUAACACUAAUCCACUCUACCCUUUAUUUUCCUGCAGCUGCUUAUAUUCGCCCCUUGCUGCAGCCUGCAAGGAUUCUAAUUGGCACCUGCUCUUCUUUUCGGGUGCUCAUUUUUCUUUCCUCCUGCUCCGUUUUCUCUCUGUUGCCGUCUGGGCUGCUCUGUGCCAUCCUGCUAUACUUUCCAGCCCAGAUCUGCCUAGUGCUGUAAAGGAUUUGAUGAUUUUCUUUAGGAAGGACUCUAACAAUAGCCCAAUCCUGCCCCUUUACAAAUCUUCUGUACAAUGGAAAAACAAAUGUUCUGCCCUCCAGAGUGAAUUCCAUUGAAAAUCAAAAGUUCUUGUUAAAAAAAAUACUAAUAAUCCCUCUCUGUUCCUGAAGGAUUGGAGAAAUUUUAAAAGAGCAAUGUUAUAAUUUAUGGGGAAUUUGAGCAUAGAUCUCAGAGCUCCCUAUGAGACAGAGUAACUUCAGCUAUUAUUUAAAGGAAGUGUUUCAGUUUUCUUCUCUAACAGCAAGCAACAAUUUUAUAACACAGAAACAAGCCAGCCAGAAAGUCCUUGAGGUUCUCUAGUGACUUUGCUGUUGUCAAUCAAAUUAACAUGGAAGAUGCUUGAACGCUGCUACUUUAAUGGGCAGAGGGACAAAACGCCUGACACACUGCAGAGAGGCUUUUGAAAAACAAGUGCCUAGAUGCCAUCUGAGCUGGAUGCGGCUAAGAGAAGCCAGAGCCCAGGACUGUAAUGGGAUGUGAUGGAUUCUGAGCUUUUGCUGCCAUUUCAGGUGGCCAAUGCCAACACUGAUUCCUCAGCUGGUGCCUCAGCCUGGCUGCCCAGUUGAGACGCUCUCCCCCAAGCCUGGUGGCUGACACUCACCUCCUGCCCCUGCUCACGAGUCAAGCCAACAAGCCAGCCCCGAGGAGCCGGGAGCCACAUGUGCCUUUGUGCUCAGAGCCCCGAGCACCAGCUCCCAGCCAGUAGUUCAGAGCCCUCUCCCCUCAGCUCUGCUCACUAAGCAGCACUUUACCAUUUACUUCUGCACAUGCUCUACAGAAUCACAAUGUUUACAGACAGGACAUAUUGUUAGACUGGUAGGGUAGCCUCCCGUACCUCACGGACCAUUAAAUACUGUUGUCACUUUUCUUUUUGUUUGACUAAAAUAUGUUUUGUUUUGAAAAACGCACUUCUUGAGUCAGAUCCUCAUUUUCCUUCAGUAUUGUCAGAAGACAGAGAAUUCACUUUCCCCUUGAUAGCUUGUUCCAGUGGUUACUCGCUUUCUCUGUUACCAUAUAAUGCUCAAUAUCUAAUUCCAUUUUUUCUAGCUUCAGCUUCUAGCAACUGCCUCUUGCUCUGCCUUUUCUAGUUAUUUAAAAAUCCAUUUUAUAUCUUGCAUUUUUCAGUUCAAAGGUACGUAUUCACAGCAUUUGGCCUUCCGGCCAGGCCCCUGUGCUCCCGCAGCUGGAGCUGGAGCCACCGCAGCUCCCGGUCCAUGGGCAGCGGUUCUGCGCAGAACACGGGCGCCCUUCUGUGCUCCUCCAAGCCGGCUGCUCUGAGCUACUGCAGGACCAGAGCCAUCAUCUCUGGGGUGGCAGAAGAAUGGACAAGAUGAGCUGGUAAUUUCUGCUUCCUCCAUGACCAUCGUCUUGAGCUGCUUUGCCAACCCAACAAUGUUCUUUUCUUCGCUUUUUAAAUACAAAGCCGUGCAUGCAUAAGGAAUAAAACACUCUUAAUUUAUUCUGCAAAAGUGUUCAUCAAGUGAGAGACAGGACUUUGGGAAAAGAUUAAGAGCUUACAUUUUUCAUUUGACUUAUUUCACAUAAAAUUUCAUAGAGGAUAAAAUGAUGGGAGGCAAAGAAGCAAUGAUAUUUCUGUUUUAUCUCUGUCUAAGGACCAUAAAUCUUUCUGAAGUAUCAUUAAUUAUAGCUGCGCCAUUCACAACGCUAUUGUUAAGGGUCUAUCAGCGGUCCCACUAUAAGCCCCUAUUUUCAGGGUUUUAUAACUUGGUUAGAAGAAUUGUGUUUCGGGCAAAAACUUGGCUGGGGCAAAGUCUCCAUCUAAGACCUUUUUUUUUUAAUGUAAAACACAAAGGGAGGUGUUACCUGUUCUGAAUUGAGUAAGGGAGAGCCCAGGGAUUUUCUAGGGGCACAAAGCUAAUGCCAUCUUGGCUGAUUCUAUCUGUACCAUUCGUGAAUUCCUAAGACUGUAUCCACAGAAGUUAUCCCUUAGCUUAAUUUAGAUCAUUCCUUUAAAAUGCAAGUUCCCAAUUACUGCAACUGAAUUCAAGAUCUGCAAUAUUCCUCUAGUGGCUGUAAUCAAAUUGGAUUUGAUUUCUUCUUUAGCUGCAGCCAGUCAAGAAUGAAUUGAGCAGACCUGGGAAAUGGCUUACAUGUUAAAAAAAACUUCAGUGUCACUACGUAGCUUUUUGGGGGGGGGUGCGUGGUUUUUUUGGCAUUUUCAAUUGUUGCUGCAUUCAUGACAUACAUUAAGAAUCAGUGAAGUUAAUGGUCACAUCCCCCAAAUGAGUACUGGCUUAGCAGCAGUACAGAGGAAUUGCUCUGACAGGGCUGAGCCACAGUGAAAUGCUAGAGGGGUGUUGAGUUUCUCCAGAUACGUAGUGAAAAUGCUCUUCAGCAGGCACUAGCGAGACUAGGGGUGCACGGGAAAGUGUUGGGGAUUGGCUCAAGGAGCAUGGACAUGAGUCCACCAAGCAACUGUACGAGCAGAGCCCAUUUUAGUUGACAUGAGUAGGCCUCAGUUAGCAUGAGUCUGGUGUAGCAUAGUGGAAAAGUACUGAGCGGUUGCUCUCUGGUUCAGCUGAGCGUUUAGAUAAACAAGCUGGGGAAUUAUCUCUAGCAGGGUGAGGAGGUUGCAUUCCAGAGAAACCACAAGAAGGUUGAGCUCAUUAUGUAUACUAUCCAAUCAAUAGAAGACGAGUAGGCAUAAUUAUUGUAUACUAUCCAAUUAAUAGAAGACGAGUAGGCAUAAUUACUGUAUACUAUCCAAUUAAUAGAUGACGAGUAUGCAUAAUUAUUGUAAGUCUUAUAUAAACCAGCUUAGUGCAUCAAUAAAGUUGAAGUAUGCUUUAUCACU
Long non-coding RNA from Columba livia (rock pigeon), 12826 nucleotides. RefSeq lists it as uncharacterized. Lineage: Eukaryota; Metazoa; Chordata; Aves; Columbiformes; Columbidae. The record is from RefSeq and is a predicted model, not a curated record. The transcript is spliced from 4 exons.